RNAcentral lists this ribosomal RNA (301 nucleotides) under uncultured bacterium. RNAcentral describes it as "partial 16S ribosomal RNA". It matches the Rfam family "Bacterial small subunit ribosomal RNA", at positions 509 to 807 of the family's 1533-position model. The record is from RNAcentral.
CAGUCGCCGCGGUAAUACGGAGGAUCCAAGCGUUAUCCGGAAUCAUUGGGUUUAAAGGGUCCGUAGGCGGUUUUAUAAGUCAGUGGUGAAAUCCGGCAGCUCAACUGUCGAACUGCCAUUGAUACUGUAGAACUUGAAUUAUUGUGAAGUAACUAGAAUAUGUAGUGUAGCGGUGAAAUGCUUAGAUAUUACAUGGAAUACCCAUUGCGAAGGCAGGUUACUAACAAUAUAUUGACGCUGAUGGACGAAAGCGUGGGGAGCGAACAGGAUUAGAUACCCCUGUAGUCCCUGUCUCUUAUAC